RNAcentral lists this ribosomal RNA (249 nucleotides) under uncultured bacterium. RNAcentral's name for it is "partial 16S ribosomal RNA". It matches the Rfam family "Bacterial small subunit ribosomal RNA", at positions 524 to 772 of the family's 1533-position model. The record is from RNAcentral.
UACGUAGGGUGCAAGCGUUAAUCGGAAUUACUGGGCGUAAAGCGUGCGCAGGCGGUUUUGUAAGUCUGUCGUGAAAUCCCCGGGCUCAACCUGGGAAUUGCGAUGGAGACUGCAAGGCUAGAAUCUGGCAGAGGGGGGUAGAAUUCCACGUGUAGCAGUGAAAUGCGUAGAGAUGUGGAGGAACACCGAUGGCGAAGGCAGCCCCCUGGGUCAAGAUUGACGCUCAUGCACGAAAGCGUGGGGAGCAAA